Molecule: ribosomal RNA, 253 nt
Filed under: uncultured bacterium
Lineage: Bacteria
Description: partial 16S ribosomal RNA
Rfam family: Bacterial small subunit ribosomal RNA
Source: RNAcentral
UACGGGGGGUGCGAGCGUUGUCCGGAAUCACUGGGCGUAAAAGGCGCGUAGGUGGUUUGAUAAGGGUGUGGUGAAAGCCCGGGGCUCAACCCCGGGUCUGCCGUGCCGACUGUCAAACUCGAGGGCUGUAGAGGCAGACGGAAUUCCGGGUGUAGCGGUGGAAUGCGUAGAGAUCCGGAGGAAGACCGGUGGCGAAGGCGGUCUGCUGGGCAGUUUCUGACACUGAGGCGCGACAGCGUGGGGAGCAAACAGG